GGGACCGACUGGGACCCACUGGGGGGAAUGGGUGGGAUUGGGGGGACUGAGGGGGACUGGGACCACUGGGAUGGACUGGGGGGACUGGGGGAGGGAGUUGGGGGGGAAUGGGGGGAUACAAACAGCACCUCAAGCCCCACCCCCUUAAAUACAACCCCCUCGAAGCCACGCCCACUCCAAACCACGCCCCCUUCUUAACCACGUCCACUUUAAGCCACGCCCCCACGUCCACUUGAGGCCACGCCCACUUCUAAACCACGCCCAAAAAGGACACGCCUCGUCUAAACCACGCCCACUCUGUAACUACGCCCAAUCAGGACACGCCCCUUCUUAAACCACGCCCCCCACUAUAACCACGCCCAAUCAGGACAUGCCCCUGCUAAACCACGCCCACUCUGUAACCACAUCCAGUCAUGACACGCCCCUUCUUAAACCACGCCCAAUCAGGACACGCCCCUUCUAAACCACGCCCCCCCACUAUAACCACGCCCAAUCAGGACACGCCCCCUCCAAACCACGCCCCCUCCCCAUAGCUCAGCCUGUGGACCCCAUGGAUCCCAUAAGUCAUAGGGGUGACCCCAUAGGAUACAAGGGGGCAAUGGGGUGACCCCAUAGGAUACGAGGGGGCAAUGGGGUGAGCCCAUAGGAUCCCAUAAGUCACACUGUGGAGCCCAUGGAUCCCAUAAGUCACACUGUGGAGCCCACGGCCCUUAUUGGGGACCCCACAACUCAGGCCAUUAACCCCAUAUCCCAAAUUAGUGACCCCAUACCCCGUAUUGGUGACCCCAUACCCCGUAUUCGUGACCCCAUAUCCCAUAUUAGUGACCCCAUAUCCCAAAUUGGUGAACCCAUAUCCCACAAUGGUGACCCCAUAUCCCAUAUUAGUGACCCCAUAUCCCAUACUGGUGACCCCAUACCCCGUAUUGGUGACCCCAUAUCCCACAAUGGUGACCCCAUAUCCCAUAUUAGUGACCCCAUAUCCCAUAUUGCUGACCCCAUAUCCCAUAUUAGUGACCCCAUAUCCCAUAUUAGUGACCCCAUAUCCCAUAUUAGUGACCCCAUAUCCCAUGUAGGUGACCCCAUAUCCCAUAUUAGUGACCCCAUAUCCCAUAUUGAUGACCCCAUAUCCCAUAUCAGUGACCCCAUAUCCCAUAUUGGUGACCCCAUAUCCCAAAUUAGUGACCCCAUAUCCCAUAUUAGUGACCCCAUAUCCCAAAUUGGUGACCCCAUAUCCCAUAUUGGUGACCCCAUAUCCCAUAUUGAUGGCCCCAUAUCCCACAGUGAUGACCCCACACCCCACUGGAAAACAAGAGAAACCCUUUAAUGAUUCCUUAUUGGACAGAAGGUUAAAAAGUGGCAGUAGGGGACCACGGGGGGUUGGGGUGGGUUGGGGUUUUUAGGAUUUUGGGGUAGUUUAUGGGGUCGAUUUUAGGGUGGGGAUUUUUGGGGCCAGUCCAUUAAAGUGCCGUAAUCAGCAAAGAGGCUCAGAGCGCCCCCUACAGGCAGGGGGGGGAAUUGCAUUGAUCUGCCGCCAUUCGGCCCUUCCUUCAUUGAUCCGCCUCCAUUCAUUCAUU
This is a long non-coding RNA of Coturnix japonica (Japanese quail), 1574 nucleotides long. The record is from Ensembl. Lineage: Eukaryota; Metazoa; Chordata; Aves; Galliformes; Phasianidae.